Molecule: long non-coding RNA, 1238 nt
Filed under: Oryctolagus cuniculus (rabbit)
Lineage: Eukaryota; Metazoa; Chordata; Mammalia; Lagomorpha; Leporidae
Description: lncRNA (ENSOCUG00000034646.1)
Source: RNAcentral
GUUCAAGAUUAUAAUUAUCAGAUGGGAUCACAAAUACAAUGGGAAAGGAGGGGGCACUUAGGACAAUUGCUACCAUGAUAUCAACAUCUCAUGGGUUUAUAGGAUUCACUAAAAGGAGGAGGUUCAUCAGGGAAGCAAAAGAAUAGAUCAGACCACUCUGUUCUGGAAUCAAAGCGUAACCCCCUUGCUCCUAAUGCCAGCCCUGAAUUUCUGGGCAUAGGACCUGUAUUCCUGGGUCUGUAGCCCACUUUUCCUGCUUUACUUAGUAUCCUGCCCAAUUUUGUCCCUCAGGUUGACUACAAGACUCCUUCCAGUCUUGAUACCUGUUUAGAGACUUUCUCAUGAAUGCAACAGAUGUACAGAUUAUCCCAUGCUGUUGUCAUCAUUUUUGGUGAAGCUUGGCUAAGGAAGAAAUUGUGAGACAUAAAGUGGCGAAUCAGAUCCCAUCAUCACUAUUGACUGCCUGGGUAUUCUCAUGGAAGUUACUUGACCUUUUAUCCCAGGAGUGACCUCAUCACUUCAAUCCUCACAAACACUAAUAUUUCCUUGGAACACAUUCCUAGAAGUGGAACUUCUGGAUCCAAAGACCCUGUGUCCGUGGCUGUUACAGCACUUACCAUCCUCCAUUGCCAUGGCCUGUUGGUGCCUGUGACUUCUGCAGUAAGACCCUGGGGUAGGAACCUGGGCUUUGUAUUCCCUUGGUGUAGCCUCAGUACUUGAAAAAUUAAUGAAGCUUCUUCUAUGUGCUAGUCCCAUUGCCAAGUGAUUAAGCCUGCCCUAGAUAUUAAUACACAUCCCUAAAAUGUUUUCCAAAAGAAGAUGGUAUAUCUUUAAUAUCUUUUGAUGAGCUUACAAACAAUCAUAAAAAUCUAAAUGGAUUGAUCAGGACGUGAAGGGCAUUAUUUUAGAAACUUGUACAAGACAGACUCUGGAUAGAAUUUAGAAGAGCUGACACUCAGAAUGUAUUACUGUAAUAUAAACUUACCCAUCCACCCCCAUUAAAGAAAGUAAACAUGUUUCAUAUUCCAACUGUGUCAAUAACCAAGGGGCUGAAAUGGAUCCCAUAAGAAAACAAACAUUUGGCCUUCAUAAUUAAAGUCAAUAUUAGACAGAGAUCCUGAAUGGACAAGGCAGUCACCUGCUUGCUCUUAGCUCAUGACCGAUGAGCCCUCCCCACACACUGUGGGAGAAACAGCUGCUUUGCCAAGGCUCACCUGGUUAGAAUUUUUCAUGGAGCG